GUUUGAUCUCAAAUCAGGUAGGACUA
Molecule: ribosomal RNA, 26 nt
Filed under: Tomentella badia
Lineage: Eukaryota; Fungi; Basidiomycota; Agaricomycetes; Thelephorales; Thelephoraceae
Description: partial 28S ribosomal RNA
Source: RNAcentral